ACCUGCGGCAGGCUUAACACAUGCAAGUCGAACGCCCCGCAAGGGGAGUGGCAGACGGGUGAGUAACGCGUGGGAACAUACCCUUUCCUGCGGAAUAGCUCCGGGAAACUGGAAUUAAUACCGCAUACGCCCUACGGGGGAAAGAUUUAUCGGGGAAGGAUUGGCCCGCGUUGGAUUAGCUAGUUGGUGGGGUAAAGGCCUACCAAGGGGACGAUCCAUAGCUAGCCGAAAGGGAUGAUCAGGUGGAUAGGAAUUGAGACACGGCCCAAACUCCUACGGGCAGCAGUAGUGGGCAGCUAGACAAUGGGCGCAAGCCUAUUCCGCCAAGCCAGCGUGAGUGAUGAAGGCCUUAGGGUUGUAAAGCUCUUUCACCGGAGAAGAUAAUGACGGUAUCCGGAGAAGAAGCCCCGGCUAACUUCGUCCCAGCAGCCGCGGUAAUACGAAGGGGGCUAGCGUUGUUCGUAAUUACUGGGCGUAAAGCGCAAGGAGGCGGAUAUUUAAGUCAGGGGUGAAAUCCCAGAGCUCAACUCUGGAACUGCCUUUGAUACUGGGUAUCUUGAGUAUGGAAGAUGGUAAGUGGAAUUCCGAGUGUAGAGGUGAAAUUCGUAGAUAUUCGGAGGAACACCAAGUGGCGAAAGGCGGCUUACCUGCUCCAUUACUGACGCUGAGGUGCGAAAGCGUGGGAGCAAACAGGAUUAGAUACCCUCGUAGUCCACCCCGUAAACGAUGAAUUUUAGCCGUCGGGCAGUAUACUGUUAGGUGGCGCAGCUAACGCAUUAAACAUUCCGCCUGCGGAGUACGGUCGCAAGAUUAAAACUCAAAGGAAUUGACGGGGCCCGCACAAGCGGUGGAGCAUGUGGUUAAUUUAGCCUGCAAUCGCGCAGAACCUUACCCAGCUCUUGACAUUCGGGGUUUGGGCAUGUGGGGAACAUUGUCCUUCAGCUUAUGGCUGGCCCCAGAACAGGUGCUGCAUGGCUGUCUGUCAGCUCGUGUCGUGAGAUGUUGGGUUAAGUCCCGCAACGAGCGCAACCCUCGCCCUUAGUUGCCAGCAUUUAGUUAAACACUCUAAGGGGACUGCCGGUGAUAAAGCCGAGAGGAAGGUGGGGAUGACGUCAAGUCCUCAUGGCCCUUGCGGGCUGGGCUACACCGUGCUACAAUGGUGGUGACAGUGGGCAGCGAGCAGCGAUGUCGAACGCUAAUCUCCAAAAGCCAUCUCAGUUCGGAUUGCACUCUGCAACUCGAGUGCAUGAAGUUGGAAUCGCUAGUAACCGCAGAUCAGCAUGCUGCGGUGAAUACGUUCCCGGGCCUUGUACACACCGCCCCGUCAC
RNAcentral lists this ribosomal RNA (1328 nucleotides) under Agrobacterium tumefaciens. Its description in RNAcentral is "bacterial SSU rRNA". It matches the Rfam family "Bacterial small subunit ribosomal RNA", at positions 35 to 1400 of the family's 1533-position model. Lineage: Bacteria; Pseudomonadati; Pseudomonadota; Alphaproteobacteria; Hyphomicrobiales; Rhizobiaceae. The record is from RNAcentral.